RNAcentral lists this ribosomal RNA (492 nucleotides) under uncultured bacterium. RNAcentral's name for it is "partial 16S ribosomal RNA". It matches the Rfam family "Bacterial small subunit ribosomal RNA", at positions 29 to 507 of the family's 1533-position model. The record is from RNAcentral.
AGUGAACGCUGGCGGUAGGCCUAGCACAUGCAAGUCGAACGGCCGCACAGUAAGAGCUUGCUCUUACGGGUGGCGAGUGGCGGACGGGUGAGGAAUACAUCGGAAUCUACUUUUUCGUGGGGGAUAACGUAGGGAAACUUACGCUAAUACCGCAUACGACCUACGGGUGAAAGCAGGGGAUCUUCGGACCUUGCGCGAUUGUAUGAGCCGAUGUCGGAUUAGCUAGUUGGCGGGGUAAAGGCCCACCAAGGCGACGAUCCGUAGCUGGUCUGAGAGGAUGAUCAGCCACACUGGAACUGAGACACGGUCCAGACUCCUACGGGAGGCAGCAGUGGGGAAUAUUGGGCAAUGGGCGCAAGCCUGAUCCAGCCAUGCCGCGUGGGUGAAGAAGGCCUUCGGGUUGUAAAGCCCUUUUGUUGGGAAAGAAAAGCAGCAGGUUAAUACCCCGCUGUUCUGACGGUACCCAAAGAAUAAGCACCGGCUAACUUCGUG